GCUUGCAUAGCUCCAAUGGUAGAGCAAUUCCAUGGUAAGGAAGAGGUUAUCGGUUCAACUCCGAUUGUGAGCACCA
This 76-nucleotide transfer RNA is filed under the name Arcobacter cloacae. Its description in RNAcentral is "tRNA-Thr(ggt)". It matches the Rfam family "tRNA". From Rfam's summary of the family: Transfer RNA (tRNA) molecules are approximately 80 nucleotides in length. Their secondary structure includes four short double-helical elements and three loops (D, anti-codon, and T loops). Further hydrogen bonds mediate the characteristic L-shaped molecular structure. tRNAs have two regions of fundamental functional importance: the anti-codon, which is responsible for specific mRNA codon recognition, and the 3' end, to which the tRNAs corresponding amino acid is attached (by aminoacyl-tRNA synthetases). tRNAs cope with the degeneracy of the genetic code in two manners: having more than one tRNA (with a specific anti-codon) for a particular amino acid; and 'wobble' base-pairing, i.e. permitting non-standard base-pairing at the 3rd anti-codon position. Lineage: Bacteria; Pseudomonadati; Campylobacterota; Epsilonproteobacteria; Campylobacterales; Arcobacteraceae. The record is from RNAcentral. RNAcentral also lists the same sequence under 11 other names.